GCCCAGCUAGCUCAGUCGGUAGAAUAUUAGACUCUUAAUCUCAGGGUCUUGGGUUCGUGCCCCACAUUGGGCA
RNAcentral lists this transfer RNA (73 nucleotides) under Erinaceus europaeus (western European hedgehog). It matches the Rfam family "tRNA". From Rfam's summary of the family: Transfer RNA (tRNA) molecules are approximately 80 nucleotides in length. Their secondary structure includes four short double-helical elements and three loops (D, anti-codon, and T loops). Lineage: Eukaryota; Metazoa; Chordata; Mammalia; Eulipotyphla; Erinaceidae. The record is from Rfam by way of RNAcentral.